This 253-nucleotide ribosomal RNA is filed under the name uncultured bacterium. RNAcentral describes it as "partial 16S ribosomal RNA". It matches the Rfam family "Bacterial small subunit ribosomal RNA", at positions 524 to 776 of the family's 1533-position model. The record is from RNAcentral.
UACGUAGGGUGCGAGCGUUGUCCGGAAUUACUGGGCGUAAAGAGCUCGUAGGUGGUUUGUCGCGUUGUCCGUGAAAACUCACAACUCAAUUGUGGGCGUGCGGGCGAUACGGGCAGACUGGAGUACUGCAGGGGAGACUGGAAUUCCUGGUGUAGCGGUGGAAUGCGCAGAUAUCAGGAGGAACACCGGUGGCGAAGGCGGGUCUCUGGGCAGUAACUGACGCUGAGGAGCGAAGGCGUGGGGAGCAAACAGG